CGCACAUAACCCAACCGACCCUGCCGACUGCUGUGUUGAGAGAUCAAACAUAAAACCCUAAAUGUCUAAUUAAAUUCCUGUGGCGUCGCAGCUCUGGCUGCCUCCUGCUGGUGCACUGCUGCGAUCCACUCCCCGAGCGGCUGAGCUCGAGUCCUUGUCUGAUCGUCUCCUCCACACUUCCAUAGGCGUCAGGUCCCCCAACUCCAAAGACUACUCUCCACUCUCCAAUAAUCUAAUUAAGGGAACUCCUGUUGCUGUUAAAAGGCUCCUCAAUAAUCAGCCCCCCCAGCUCCAUAGACCAUACUCUCCACAAAUGCAGUCCGGACGGCGGAUUGGAUUCGAUUAUCCUGGCAAACCCAGCGGACGUCAGCCAUUUCGGCUACUUCCAGAGGUCAAGCGUCAAGGAGUUCAUCGUCUUCAUCAGUCGUAUCGUCGCCAAGCGAAUGCCUUCCGGCCAGCCCCAGUCUGUCCAGCAUGAAGAUAUUCAACCGGCCUACAAGCGUUGUCGACUGCCCCUUUGAUGGUUCGAAAAAAUAGUCAUGGGCUACUAGAUGAUUAACUGCCUCCUUUAGAUGAUUGACCACUAGAUCUCGAAAGUGCAUAUUGUUUGCAUUUCUUCAUGAUUUUCUUCAAGAUUUUAAGAAUUAUUGAAUCUAUACACUCAUUAAAGGGUA
Molecule: long non-coding RNA, 674 nt
Organism: Malania oleifera
Lineage: Eukaryota; Viridiplantae; Streptophyta; Magnoliopsida; Santalales; Ximeniaceae
Exons: 2
Source: RefSeq, a predicted model, not a curated record